AUUUCUCUCCAGAAGCAGAACGUGAGUCACACGAGGGCUGAUCCAAAAGGGCCAUACGUGCACUGUGAUCUAGUGAAGUUUCCUUGGAAUACAGGAAGCUGCCCUUAGGAAACGUCUCAAGAUAAAGUGGUUGCUUUCCCUGGAAAGCAUCUCUGACGCAGAUGGAACGAGUGCUUCUGAAGUAAGGAAUGAAGAGGGUGUUUGUGGAAAAACAUUAGGUAAUGCCACGUCAGGCAUCUAGCCCUGCUGGGAGAUUUCUGGACACCCUCGGCAGCUACAGGCAAAGCGCAGCCCUGCAGUAACGCGCUUCUGCGAUAAGUCAGCACCGCCACUAGAAGAGGAAGUCCCACCCCUCCCUCUGCUCUUUUCUACAGAUUCCUGCUUCGACUUAAAGCUACAUUAAAAAAAAAAAAAAAACAUACCACAACAUAAAGAAUAGUUUCCUGUCUGAUCCAACCGGGCCUUCAACCAUCAGCAGCCAGAGCCAAGGGGCAGAAACAAGUCUUUCCUCCCUGGGGGAGACAUUCCAGUCUUGCAAAGUGGUUCCUUGGAGGGCAGUGACAGAGUUUCAGGCAAUACAGCUCAAGAACAAUAUGAGUCAAUUGGAGAGCUCCCAGAGAAGAAGCAGCAGAAAUGAUGAGAAGGUUGAAACCGUGACCUGCAAUGGAAAAAUGGAACAAACUGGAACUUCUUAGCCUAAACAACAGGAAACUGAGAAGAAUAUGAUAAGAGACAUGAAAGAAAUGAAAGACCAUUGAAAAGAACAAUUUUUUUUUCUAUGGGACAAGAAGCAAUGGGCUUUAAUUACAGUAAAGAAGAUUCAGUGUACAUACAGGAAAACUAUAGAAAUAGAUAAUGAAUAGGAAAAGAUUGCUGUGAAGGAUGGUGUAUGGAGACCUUUAAGGUUAGAGAAAUAUCAGUCAGGAACAUUUGAGGCAGAACCGGUCCUAUAUAGGACCAAUGAGGCCAAUGGCAUCUUGAAUUCCCUUCUACACAAGCGUGUUACAGGUGCAGGGCAGACAACAUGAAGGAAGCACAGAAUUAACCAGGACUAGCUAAGAGUAAAAUACAGUAAUCUAGUAAAUUACAUAGCAUCAGAAUUAGGGAAAAGUCUCACUGGCCUGUUUCCUUUACCUUCACAGCCAAGCUAAGAUCUGGGCUCUGAGUAGUGACAUAUUUCUGAUAAUCUUUGAGAAACUUAAGAGUUACUGCGAGUAUGCAGGCUUGCUGCUGGGAAGUGGUUUACAGAGUUGACUGGUAGAAAAAAAAAAUAUUGAAAACUGUGGAGCCUUCAGAUCCAGUCUGUGAACCAUGGGUUAUGCUUGGCUGUUUGCUGUGGCUCUUUCUUGAAUGAAAAUAGUGUUGUAAUAUUGUAAAGUAGUGAUAGGAAUAGACUUUUUUUUUUUUUUUUUUUUAAUUCAGCCUCAAAAUGAAGGCCUUCUUUUAAGUUGGGUAGCUGAGUGCACAAACAGUCUGAAUUCAUACAUGCUAACUCUUCCAAAUGAUGGUCUCAUGCAAAUACUCAGAUUGCACACAGGCAUCGGGCUCUGUGCAUGCAUCUUAGAGACUCAGAAAGCUUUUGACAUGACGUGCUGAGCAAAUUGCAGAUUGAAGACUACAUGAAAAGCUUGUUACUCAGCCUUCAUUCACACGUAGCAUCUGUUGCAUCUAAAUAAAUAUACUUCCUUCUACUUUCCUUCCACUUGGUACUAAAGUAUACUCCUUUUUCCCUUAAUUUGUAGUUCUGCUUUUACAUAGCACAGUCAGAAUUAGACACAGAUUUUUGAGUUAGAGGUAGCUAUAGCUAAGGGGCUUCAGACAGACAGACUGACCCCAAAGGAGGGUUCAGCAGGAGCAGGAUGAUGGCCUGGACAUCGGGUCAUCUGCAGCUGCAGUAUUCCAAAAUACUGCCACAAGACACCAACAAGGAAAGAGUAUGAAUGCAUACCCUAAACAUUUCCAUAGUGGAGCUCAAUAGCUGUUUCAUCUACUUCAGGGAUUUUUAAGAUGAGGCGGGGUUUUAUGUCAUCUAGCUUGACCUCCUGUUUAACAAGCACAACGGCAUUUUACUGAGCUAGUUAGUGCUGUGCCCAAAAUCUCAUGUUUAUUGGAAGGAUUUUCCACAAAGAAGUCCAGUCCUGAGCUGAAGACUUGAAGGAAUGGAAAAUCUACUGCUUCCCGUGCUCGCCUGUUCCACUGGUUAAUCACUGUCACAGCUCAACAAUUGUGCCUUAUUUCUCGUGUGAGUUUUGCCUGGCUCCAGCUCUCAGCCAUCUCUUCUUGUUAUGUCUCUCCACUAAACUUAAGAGACUUGUUAUUUCUUCCCUGUAAGAAUAAUUUUU
This is a long non-coding RNA of Cygnus atratus (black swan), 2342 nucleotides long. RefSeq lists it as uncharacterized. NCBI's taxonomy places the organism in Eukaryota, Metazoa, Chordata, Aves, Anseriformes, Anatidae. The transcript has 3 exons. The record is from RefSeq and is a predicted model, not a curated record.